AUAUUUUGAAAUCAUCUGUUGAUUUUCUGUGCUGCAAGACCAGCAUGUGAAUCAUGUCAGCAACUAUACUCCAUGUUUCAAAAACAUGUAAAAAUGUUACAGUUCUUCAAACAGAAGAAGCAGAGAUCAGAUCCAGAGUGGAGUGCUGGACAAAGAACACAAAGCUAAAUGAAACUGCCAAAGCUGUCACGUGUUUCAACCGAAUAGCCACAAUUCUGUGGUGCUGUGCAAUACUUUCCCUUUCCUCUCUCCCCACCUUAGAUGUCACAUUUCCUUACACUGACAUGUGGUUGGAGUGUGGUUGGAAUGUGGUUGGAGACUCCUGGCACAGAUUGACAUUGGUCCACUGAAGGGAAGCAGCUGGGAACCACUUUCCACCAGGACAAAGUUGCUGUAUCCAGAGGGACACCAAAGGCAUUACCUAUCUGCUCAUGCCAGUUUCUUUCUGACAGAAGACACAGCUGACCAGCAAACCUUGGUGUUUUUGAAAGGGAUUUCCUCUUUUGGGCUCUCUGAAUGAUUUUGAGGCAACAUCAGGCUAAGAAGACCUCUGCCAUCUGACAUAAUUUUACUUUGUCAUUUUUGGGGCACUUGAUUGAUCUUAAGAUAUUAAUUUUUGUAUGUAAUAAGGCUAAAAUGUAGAAAACAUGGUACUGGUUCUUUUUCUAGUUCUUAUGACUGCUCUUGCUUUCAGUUCUGUAGAAGAAAUCUAAUGCUUCAGACUGGGCUAUUCUAUUGAACUUCUAAAAAUUGCCUUCUCCCACUGUCAACAAGUAUGAGCUUGAGACCUGCCCUUGGGUACAUUCUCAGGGCUGCAAAUUUGCCCUGGGCACAGCAGUGAGGAAAUCUCAGCUUGCAGUGUGUGCAUCUCCCCCCAUCAAACUGAAAGCCAGGCCAGUUCACUAGACAUUAAAAAAUGUAGAUUUUCUCAAAUCUUGCAAGACAUUUGGAUAAAACCAUGGAGGCAUGGAGUGACUAAUAAAACUGGAUGAGAAGAAAGUGUAUAAAUUUUA
Molecule: long non-coding RNA, 1013 nt
Filed under: Junco hyemalis (dark-eyed junco)
Lineage: Eukaryota; Metazoa; Chordata; Aves; Passeriformes; Passerellidae
Description: lncRNA (ENSJHYG00000011274.1)
Source: RNAcentral